Molecule: long non-coding RNA, 585 nt
Filed under: Populus euphratica (Euphrates poplar)
Lineage: Eukaryota; Viridiplantae; Streptophyta; Magnoliopsida; Malpighiales; Salicaceae
Source: RNAcentral
GUGCAAUUUACAAACUUCUUAUUCUUAACUUCAUGUCAACUAAAACAUAUAUUCAUAAUCUAACUUUCAAAUAAAAACAUAGUUCAAUAAUUAUAACACCUUAUUACAAAUCUUCGAGAAAAAAACACAUGAGAACGAAAACCUAAAAUACUAAAGCAGAUAAUCCUCUAGUCAUGGUAGGUAUGAGAGGGUCCUAUGAUUCUUGAAAUGAUGAACCUUUUAAUUGUUGCUUCUUCUAAUCCUUCUUCUCCCUUUUUAUUUUCUUCCUAGCCAUGAUUCCUUCUUCUUCCUUCAAAACUUGCUCUUCAAUCAAAAUAUCUCUCCCUUACCUAUAUUUUGGAAUCUCCCUCCACGCCUCCCUCUUUUCUUUUUCAUUUUUUCAAGUAGAUAAGACAUAUAAAGUAGAUUCCUCUACUCUACCAACCUAUCCCUUCUAUACAUAUAUUUGACCUCCCUUAAAGAAACCGUUCAGUUUUUCCUUUUUAUUUUUAUUUUUAUUUAUUAUCAUUAUCAUUAUAUAUAUAAAAGUCGGGGUUUACUAUAACUAACCUCUACUUGAAUGUUUGAUACAAGCGCAUAUUUUCA